AUGAACGCUAGCGACAGGCCUAACACAUGCAAGUCGAGGGGCAGCACAAGGAGCAAUCUGAGGUGGCGACCGGCGCACGGGUGAGUAACACGUAUGCAACCUGCCUGUAAGCGGGGAAUAACCCGUUGAAAGACGGACUAAUACCGCAUAAUACUAAAUUACUGCAUGGUAAUUUAUUUAAACAUUUAUGGCUUACAGAUGGGCAUGCGCAUGAUUAGCUAGUUGGAGAGGUAACGGCUCCCCAAGGCAACGAUCAUUAGGGGUUCUGAGAGGAAGGUCCCCCACACUGGUACUGAGACACGGACCAGACUCCUACGGGAGGCAGCAGUGAGGAAUAUUGGUCAAUGGACGAGAGUCUGAACCAGCCAAGUCGCGUGCAGGAAGAAUGUCCUAUUGGAUUGUAAACUGCUUUUGCGAGGGGAAUAAAGUGCAUCACGUGUGAUGUUUUGUAUGUACUCUGCGAAUAAGGAUCGGCUAACUCCGUGCCAGCAGCUGC
This 496-nucleotide ribosomal RNA is filed under the name uncultured bacterium. RNAcentral's name for it is "bacterial SSU rRNA". It matches the Rfam family "Bacterial small subunit ribosomal RNA", at positions 29 to 518 of the family's 1533-position model. The record is from RNAcentral.